GUAGGUGAACCUGCGGAAGGAUCAUUAUCACGUAUCCACGUAUAAACCAUUGUGAACCGUUCUUUACCUCUGGAGCUGAAAGAAACUGUUGAGUUGCUUGCGACUGAACUUUUUUUUCUGCAAAAGAGCGUAUUCUUUACAUUAACCAUUUCAACCCAAUCUUUAUAACUUUAUGAACUAACUUUAUUUUAUACUCUUCGGAGAUAAAAUUCAUUACGAAACAAAGAACAACUCUUAGCAACGGAUAUCU
Molecule: unclassified non-coding RNA, 250 nt
Filed under: plant metagenome
Description: partial contains small subunit ribosomal RNA, internal transcribed spacer 1, and 5.8S ribosomal RNA
Source: RNAcentral